This is a long non-coding RNA of Rosa chinensis, 2011 nucleotides long. RefSeq lists it as uncharacterized. The transcript is spliced from 8 exons. The record is from RefSeq and is a predicted model, not a curated record. NCBI's taxonomy places the organism in Eukaryota, Viridiplantae, Streptophyta, Magnoliopsida, Rosales, Rosaceae.
CAAAUUUUAAAGCUAUUUCUCUCUCCCCGACAAAUUUAACCCUUUGAAAAAUUUUCUCUUCCACAUCUGAGAAACCCUAUCUAUCUUGCUCUCCCUUAGGCACAAAAGAACCCAGCUCAACACAAAUUUCUUGGCAGAUCUCCCCCAUUAAACUCUCCUCCAAUCAAAACUGAAAACUCAAUCUCCCCCAUCUCUCUUCGACAAACAUAGAACCCAUCUCAAUCACUUUUUCAAACCAUACAGCCAAACCAUCUCAAUCCCUCUCACGAGUUCUUGUUGGUGUUGAGAAGAUUUCAACGCUUUCAAUCCGUAUUGUUUCACUAUUGUUGGGUAAGGCCUUCGAUUCACUGUUAAUCAAUUUAUUUAGAGUUUCUUUUGGAUUGGGUUUUAGGGUUUUAAUUGAAAUAUCUAUUCAAAUUUGAUUUGUGUUUGCUGGGUUAUAUUCGAAUUGGGGAUACAAGGUUAUCUUUUGUCUGGGUUAUGUUCAAAUUUUCUUUUCGAAGGUACGAUUCGUCUUUGAAAUCGGUGAAGGAGCUUAACCAACCCCCUGGAUUCGAAUUGCGGGGUGUUCGUGAAUCGAAGAAGGAGAUGAUAGGCUUAAUCUAAAGUAACCCGUGGAGUCUUGGAAUUAAUAAUUCUUUUCUCAAGAGGCAGUGUAAGUUGGAGUAUUACUAGGGUCUGCUGUGGCUGUAAUUGAAUGAGUGAAAGUGAGAAAAAUAAGAGUCAGUUUAAUCACGAUAUGGUAUUUCCCAAGGCCAGAAGCCCCAUAAUAUCUAUUAUUUCUUCCUUAUAAAUUUACUACUCAAGCUUCUAGGGCUCUACAUACAUUAUCACUAAUCUUUUGUGUUGUACUUUCAAAAUCAAUGUUGCUCAGAUCUUCUAGAUUACUGAUGAUAUUUAACUUGGAUUGGAAGGACAGGUUGUCCCUUUCUACAUGAAAUAUAUGUAUGAUAAUACUCCUUUUUAUUAUUCAUAUUAUUAGUUACUUUUUGACGUUACUGUUAUAUAUUCUCCAUAAUACAGUCUGGUUUCUGCUACAGGUGGAAGGAUGGGUUCCUACUAUAAGGAGCAUAGAAUUCUUCCCCACUUCCAGAACUCAGCUUGCUGUAUAUCUAUUCAAUAUAACUUUGCAAUGAGGCUUGGUGGCUUUGGGAUAAGGAUGGUUUUAUGUUAUCUACUUUCAACUCCAUCAGCUUUUUGUUUGAAGCUAGUACGUAUCUAGUCCUCACACUACUUUCAACCCCAGCCAUUUUUCUUUCUUUUAUUGUGCCUUGUAUCAGCCUCUUCAAGAACUAGAGAAGAUGACCAAUAUUAUUCUUCAAGCUCUGAAAAUUACUGGACAAAGAGGCAUUAUCAACAAAGGCAGGGGUUGGUAAUUCAGUACAAUCAAAUGAUUCUGUGUACUUAGUGGACAAUUGCCCCCAUGAUGACUCUUCCUCGGAUGCUCUGUUGUGGUCAGGAACGUUACCAUCGCCUGGCUCCCAUGUAUUACCGCGGUGCAACUGCAGCUGUUGGUCUAUGAUAUCACAAGCAUGGAGUCAUUUGUUUUUAGCGAGCUAAGAAGUGGGUUUUUGAAUUGCAAAGACAAGCAAAUCCAACUUUAAUAAUGUUCUUGAUUGGAAACAAGGCCGAGUUGGAAGAGAAGAGAAAAGUAGGGACUGAGAAAAGUAGUCCUCACUUAGGAAGCAGAGAUCUAUCAGGGCAGAAAUGGUUAGGAAGUAGAGACGAUACGUAGUCUGCAGAAGGCAAGCAGAAAACAAGUAGUGAAGUCUUUGACCAUUGCGCAAUAGAUACACUGCUGAUUUCUCAUGGGACAAGUACACUCUUCAUGAAGGACCUUUUGAGGAGGUCGGAGCAACGUGUUGAAACUUUUAUCAAUGAGGGUAGAUUAGUUUAUGCUGCUGUGAACAAACUGUAUUUCAUGGUUUGAGUAUGACUUUCAUCAUUGGGAUAUAUGAUAAUACAUUGGAAGUUAUAUGUCUUUUUAAAUAAUAUCAAACAAUAGAAAGUU